CUUCUUCUUCAUCUUCUUCUUAUCAUGAUCAAUAUAAACAGUUGGGUAUCAGCUGAACCCUUAAAUUGUUGUUGAUCAUACAAAAUGAAACUUCUCUAUAUUUGUGUUUUCUUCAUUAACCUAACUAUGAUCAAUCAAUAGCUGGAGAUUUUGAGCCUUUAACACGAUUCUUUUGCAGUCGGUUUCAUGGUAAUAUGCGCAAAUUAUAGCAGGUGGCAGACAGUGAUUGAAGUUUUCGGGCAUGACUCACUUGCUGCAUAUAAGAUUGAAAUUUUCCAUCUAUUCCUCUCUGUAACGUUACUGUCCAAAUGCUUCGUUAGCAUAACACGUGUCUCUUCCCCCGGUACUUCCGGGUCUAUAUACCAUGUAUCUUUUUCUUUCUUUCAUAGAAAACCUAGUCCAUGCAUCUUCCACAAUAGUCGUCUUUGGCUGUGUUUACGAGAGAGAGAGAGAC
RNAcentral lists this long non-coding RNA (454 nucleotides) under Manihot esculenta (cassava). RNAcentral's name for it is "long non-coding RNA (MESC_LNC000442)". The record is from RNAcentral. Lineage: Eukaryota; Viridiplantae; Streptophyta; Magnoliopsida; Malpighiales; Euphorbiaceae.